GAUUAACGCUGGCGGCGUGCAUAACACAUGCAAGUCGAACGCUGAAACUUAGUAGACUUCUUCGGAAAGACACUAAGCGGAUUAGUGGCGAACGGGUGAGUAACGCGUGAGUAACCUGCCUUACACAAGGGGAUAGCCUUUGGAAACGAAGAAUAAUACCCUAUAAAACCAUAAAAGCACAUGCUAGAAUGGUCAAAGUGAUAGCGGUGUAAGAUGGACUUGCGUCUGAUUAGCUAGUUGGUGAGAUAAAAGCUCACCAAGGCAACGAUCAGUAGCCGGCUUGAGAGAGUGUACGGCCACAUUGGGACUGAGACACGGCCCAGACUCCUACGGGAGGCAGCAGUGGGGAAUUUUGCACAAUGGGGGAAACCCUGAUGCAGCGACGCCGCGUGAUUUAGAAGGCCAUCGGGUUGUAAAAAUCUUUUGUAUAGGAAGAAAAUGACAGUACUAUACGAAUAAGGGCCGGCUAAUUACGUG
RNAcentral lists this ribosomal RNA (477 nucleotides) under uncultured bacterium. RNAcentral's name for it is "partial 16S ribosomal RNA". It matches the Rfam family "Bacterial small subunit ribosomal RNA", at positions 28 to 507 of the family's 1533-position model. The record is from RNAcentral.